UUAAGGCUAGGGGGUCAUCCCGACUUACCAACCCUUUGCAAACUCCGAAUACCAAUGAGUGAUAUGCGGGAGACACACUACGGGUGCUAACGUCCGUUGUGAAGAGGGAAACAACCCAGACCGCCAGCUAAGGUCCCAAAGUACUAGUUAAGUGGGAAACGAUGUGGAAAGGCAUAGACAGCUAGGAGGUUGGCUUAGAAGCAGCCAUCCUUUAAAGAAAGCGUAAUAGCUCACUAGUCGAGUCGGUCUGCGCGGAAGAUGUAACGGGGCUAAACUAGUCACCGAAGCUGCGGAUUUGAACUUAGGUUCAAGUGGUAGGGGAGCGUUCUGUAAGCCGUUGAAGGUGUGUUGUAAAGCAUGCUGGAGGUAUCAGAAGUGCGAAUGCUGACAUGAGUAACGAUAAGGGGAGUGAAAAACUCCCCCGCCGAAAGACCAAGGUUUCCUGUCCCAUGUUAAUCAGGGCAGGGUAAGUCGGCCCCUAAGGCGAGGCGGAAACGCGUAGUCGAUGGGAAACAGAUUAAUAUUUCUGUACUUCUAUAUAUUGCGAAGGAGGGACGGAGUAGGCUAGGUGAGCACGGCGUUGGUAGUCCGUGUGAAAGAUUGUAGGCUGGAAACUUAGGUAAAUCCGGGUUUCCUUAAGGCUGAGAGUCGAGACGAGAUUCUACGGAAUUGAAGUCAUUGAUGCCAUGCUUCCAGGAAAAGCUUCUAAGCUUCAGAUAUAUAGGAACCGUACCCCAAACCGACACAGGUGGUUAGGUAGAGAAUACUAAGGCGCUUGAGAGAACUCGGGUGAAGGAACUAGGCAAAAUAGUACCGUAACUUCGGGAGAAGGUACGCUACUCAUGGUGAUGGAACUUGCUUCCUAAGCUAAGAGUAGUCGAAGUAACCAGGUGGCUGGAACUGUUUAUUAAAAACACAGCACUGUGCAAAAUCGAAAGAUGACGUAUACGGUGUGACGCCUGCCCGGUGCCGGAAGGUUAAUUGAUUGGGUUAGCUCUGCGAAGCUCAUGAUCGAAGCCCCGGUAAACGGCGGCCGUAACUAUAACGGUCCUAAGGUAGCGAAAUUCCUUGUCGGGUAAGUUCCG
This 1085-nucleotide ribosomal RNA is filed under the name seawater metagenome. Its description in RNAcentral is "bacterial LSU rRNA". It matches the Rfam family "Bacterial large subunit ribosomal RNA", at positions 913 to 1985 of the family's 2925-position model. The record is from RNAcentral.